GCCGGCGUAGCUCAGUUGGUAGAGCAACUGAUUUGUAAUCAGUAGGUCGCGGGUUCGAGUCCCAUCGCCGGCUCCA
RNAcentral lists this transfer RNA (76 nucleotides) under bacterium. RNAcentral describes it as "tRNA-Thr". It matches the Rfam family "tRNA". From Rfam's summary of the family: Transfer RNA (tRNA) molecules are approximately 80 nucleotides in length. Their secondary structure includes four short double-helical elements and three loops (D, anti-codon, and T loops). The record is from RNAcentral. RNAcentral also lists the same sequence under 4 other names.